RNAcentral lists this ribosomal RNA (761 nucleotides) under Alloprevotella tannerae. RNAcentral describes it as "bacterial SSU rRNA". It matches the Rfam family "Bacterial small subunit ribosomal RNA", at positions 28 to 776 of the family's 1533-position model. The record is from RNAcentral. Lineage: Bacteria; Pseudomonadati; Bacteroidota; Bacteroidia; Bacteroidales; Prevotellaceae.
GAUGAACGCUAGCUACAGGCUUAACACAUGCAAGUCGUGGGGCAGCGGAUACUUAGCUUGCUAAGUAUGCCGGCGACCGGCGCACGGGUGAGUAACGCGUACCGAACCUGCCCAUCACACAGGGAUAGGCUUGCGAAAGCAAGAUUAAUACCUGAUGGUCUCAAUUUUAUGCAUGUAUGAUUGAGUAAAGCCUUCGGGCGGUGAUGGAUGGCGGUGCGUCCCAUUAGGAAGUUGGCGGGGUAACGGCCCACCAAUCCUUCGAUGGGUAGGGGUUCUGAGAGGAAGGUCCCCCACAUUGGAACUGAGAUACGGUCCAAACUCCUACGGGAGGCAGCAGUGAGGAAUAUUGGUCAAUGGGCGAGAGCCUGAACCAGCCAAGUAGCGUGCGGGAUGAAGGCCCUUGUGGUCGUAAACCGCUUUUAUCAGUGAAUAAAGUGCACCACGUGUGGUGUCAUUGCAGGUAGCUGAAGAAAAAGGACCGGCUAAUUCCGUGCCAGCAGCCGCGGUAAUACGGAAGGUCCGGGCGUUAUCCGGAAUUAUUGGGUUUAAAGGGAGCGCAGGCGGGAGUAUAAGUCAGCUGUUAAAUAUCAGGGCCCAACUCUGUUAUGCAGUUGAAACUAUAUUUCUUGAGUACGCACAGGGAUGGCGGAAUUCAGGGUGUAGCGGUGAAAUGCUUAGAUAUCCUGAAGAACUCCGAUCGCGAAGGCAGCCAUCCGGAGCGUAACUGACGCUGAGGCUCGAAGGUGCGGGUAUCGAACAGG